RNAcentral lists this ribosomal RNA (452 nucleotides) under uncultured bacterium. RNAcentral describes it as "SSU rRNA". It matches the Rfam family "Bacterial small subunit ribosomal RNA", at positions 26 to 518 of the family's 1533-position model. The record is from RNAcentral.
AGAGCGAACGCUGGCGGCAUGCUCAACACAUGCAAGUCGCACGGGCAGGGGUAACUCUGUCAGUGGCGGACGGGUGAGUAACGCGUAGGUAUCUAUCUCUGGGUGGGGGACAACUGUGGGAAACUACAGCUAAUACCGCAUGACACCUGAGGGUCAAAGGCGCAAGUCGCCUGGAGAGGAGCCUGCGUACGAUUAGCUAGUUGGUGGGGUAAAGGCCUACCAAGGCGACGAUCGUUAGCUGGUCUGAGAGGAUGAUCAGCCACAUUGGGACUGAGACACGGCCCAAACUCCUACGGGAGGCAGCAGUGGGGAAUAUUGGACAAUGGGCGAAAGCCUGAUCCAGCAAUGCCGCGUGUGUGAAGAAGGUCUUCGGAUUGUAAAGCACUUUCGACGGGGACGAUGAUGACGGUACCCGUAGAAGAAGCCCCGGCUAACCUCGUGCCAGCAGCCGC